Molecule: ribosomal RNA, 368 nt
Filed under: uncultured organism
Description: bacterial SSU rRNA
Rfam family: Bacterial small subunit ribosomal RNA
Source: RNAcentral
CGGAGGGUGCAAGCGUUAUCCGGAUUCACUGGGUUUAAAGGGUGCGUAGGUGGGCAAGUAAGUCAGUGGUGAAAUCUCCGGGCUUAACCCGGAAACUGCCAUUGAUACUAUUUGUCUUGAAUACUGUGGAGGUCAGCGGAAUAUGUCAUGUAGCGGUGAAAUGCUUAGAUAUGACAUGGAACACCAAUUGCGAAGGCAGCUGGCUACACAAAUAUUGACACUGAGGCACGAAAGCGUGGGGAUCAAACAGGAUUAGAUACCCUGGUAGUCCACGCCCUAAACUAUGGAUACUCGACAUUUGCGAUAAACUGCAAGUGUCUGAGCGAAAGCAUUAAGUAUCCCACCUGGGAAGUACGAUCGCAAGAUUG